GUGUGCGAUCCUUUCAGCAUUUAUGCAUCGGAUUCCAUCAGAACUCCGCAGAUAAGCGUGCUUGGGCGAGAAUGGUACUAAGUCAAACUUUGUUGCAAGAC
Molecule: ribosomal RNA, 101 nt
Filed under: Cephalotus follicularis
Lineage: Eukaryota; Viridiplantae; Streptophyta; Magnoliopsida; Oxalidales; Cephalotaceae
Source: RNAcentral